This 441-nucleotide ribosomal RNA is filed under the name uncultured bacterium. RNAcentral's name for it is "partial 16S ribosomal RNA". It matches the Rfam family "Bacterial small subunit ribosomal RNA", at positions 338 to 795 of the family's 1533-position model. The record is from RNAcentral.
CCUACGGGUGGCAGCAGUGGGGUAUCUUGCACAAUGGGGGGAACCCUGAUGCAGCGACGCCGCGUGGGUUCCUUCUCUUUUCGGCGCGUCCCUCCCUCUCUUCCUUUCCUCCUUCUUCCUUUCCCUUCCUCCGCCGCCCCGGCUCCCUCCGUGCCCGCCGCCGCGGUCCUCCGUCGGGGGCCCGCGUUCUCCGGAUUUACUGGGUGUACCGGGGGCGCAGCCGGCAGCGCCCGCCAGGAGUUAACGCCCUGGGCCCCCCCCCGGGACUGCUCUUGGAACUGCGCGGCUGGAGUGCAGGAGGGGCAGGCGGAAUUCCUGGUGUAGCGGUGAAAUGCGUAGAUAUCAGGAGGAACACCGGGGGCGAAGGCGGCCUGCUGGACUGCGACUGACGUGGAGGCCCGAAAGCGUGGGGAGCAAACAGGAUGAGAGACCCGAGUAGUC